RNAcentral lists this ribosomal RNA (253 nucleotides) under uncultured bacterium. RNAcentral's name for it is "partial 16S ribosomal RNA". It matches the Rfam family "Bacterial small subunit ribosomal RNA", at positions 524 to 776 of the family's 1533-position model. The record is from RNAcentral.
UACGAAGGGUGCAAGCGUUACUCGGAAUUACUGGGCGUAAAGCGUGCGUAGGUGGUUCGUUAAGUCUGAUGUGAAAGCCCUGGGCUCAACCUGGGAAUGGCAUUGGAAACUGUCGACCUAGAGUGCGGUAGAGGGUAGUGGAAUUCCCGGUGUAGCAGUGAAAUGCGUAGAGAUCGGGAGGAACAUCCGUGGCGAAGGCGACUACCUGGACCAGCACUGACACUGAGGCACGAAAGCGUGGGGAGCAAACAGG